RNAcentral lists this ribosomal RNA (439 nucleotides) under uncultured bacterium. RNAcentral's name for it is "partial 16S ribosomal RNA". It matches the Rfam family "Bacterial small subunit ribosomal RNA", at positions 338 to 795 of the family's 1533-position model. The record is from RNAcentral.
CCUACGGGCGGCAGCAGUGGGGGAUAUUGCACAAUGGAGGAAACUCUGAUGCAGCGACGCCGCGUGAGGGAAGACGGUCUUCGGAUUGUAAACCUCUGUCUUUGGGGAAGAAAAUGACGGUACCCAAAGAGGAAGCUCCGGCAAACUACGUGCCAGCAGCCGCGGUAAUACGUAGGGAGCGACGGUUGUCCGGAAUUACUGGGUGUAAGGGGGGCGUAGGGGGGUGAGAAGGUUGAAGGUUAAGUCUAUCGGCUAAACUGGUAGCUGCGUUCGAAACUUCCAGUCUUGAGUGAAGGAGAGGUAGGCGGAAUUCCUAGUGUAGCGGUGAAAUGCGUAGAUAUUAGGAGGAACACCGGUGGCGAAGGCGGCCUGCUGGACUUUAACUGACGCUGAGGCUCGAAAGCGUGGGGAGCAAACAGGAUUAGAUACCCCAGUAGUC